Small nuclear RNA from Gracilinanus agilis (Agile Gracile Mouse Opossum), 104 nucleotides. The record is from RefSeq and is a predicted model, not a curated record. NCBI's taxonomy places the organism in Eukaryota, Metazoa, Chordata, Mammalia, Didelphimorphia, Didelphidae.
GUGCUUGCUUUGGCAGCACAUAUAUUCACACUGGAAGGAUACCAAGAUUAGCAUGACCACUGUGCAGGGAUGACAUACAAAUUCCUGAAGCAUUCCAUAUUUUU